This 191-nucleotide ribosomal RNA is filed under the name Pasteurella multocida 1500E. RNAcentral's name for it is "partial 23S ribosomal RNA". It matches the Rfam family "Bacterial large subunit ribosomal RNA", at positions 2737 to 2925 of the family's 2925-position model. The record is from RNAcentral. Lineage: Bacteria; Pseudomonadati; Pseudomonadota; Gammaproteobacteria; Pasteurellales; Pasteurellaceae.
AUUGCUGGGUAGCUAAAUGCGGAAGAGAUAAGUGCUGAAAGCAUCUAAGCACGAAACUUGCCAAGAGAUGAGUCAUCCCUGACUUUAAGUCAGUAAGGGUUGUUGUAGACUACGACGUAGAUAGGUUGGGUGUGUAAGUGUAGUGAUACAUUGAGCUAACCAAUACUAAUUGCCCGAGAGGCUUAACCAUA